Molecule: long non-coding RNA, 2642 nt
Organism: Lemur catta (Ring-tailed lemur)
Lineage: Eukaryota; Metazoa; Chordata; Mammalia; Primates; Lemuridae
Exons: 2
Source: RefSeq, a predicted model, not a curated record
CCAGGUUCCUCCUAAAGGGCAAGGGGUUGUUGCGUUUGGCUGGAGGGCGAGAAGGGAUGAGACUGAACCCACAAGCAAGGCCUUCUGAGCCGAGCGGGGGCUUGGAGUCAAUCGCGAGGGCCCUUGGGGGAUGUUGUGAGACAUGGUCUGAUUUGUCAUUUGAGAAGAUCUCUCUGGCAGCAGCUGUGGGGACUGGAUUGGAGGGGAAGGAGAACCAAGGUUGGGAAAUCGGCGAGGGCGCGAUUGCGGCAGUCUGGGCCAGAGGCGAAGCAGCCGAGGAAGGAGGGGCUGUGGUGUCCGGAGGGUCUGAGGCCGCGGAGAGGAGGGGUCCGCAGGUGACACAGGGGUUUGAAGAUGGGAGAGCAACAGAGCCCUAACAAAUGCCCGCACGUGGUGGAGCGAUGCCCGGCGGAAGCAGGCAGCAUGCUAGCGUGGCGAGAGCAAGGACUUUGGAGCCAGACCCACGAAGGUCUGAUUCUCAGCCCAGCUCCUGCAACCCGUGUGAACUCGGCCAAGUUCCUUAAGCAAGUUGACCCUUCCUUCUUUCUGAGAAAUGAAAAUGAAUCCUUACCUCAUGGGUUUGUUGCGAGGACUGAAUGAGAUAUGAAUAAAUUUAUUAGUCACUUGGCCCUUCGAGACCAGUGAUGGCUAAAGGGGUCCACCUGAUGUGCCAGCUCCAACGCAUCAGUCGUAGCCGUGGGGCGCUGUGCUGAGAAGAAUUCAGACCCCUCGUCCAGGCUUGGAGGUGGUGGGGGCACCUGGGAAGUGGCACUCACCAAACAAUAGCUGCCAGUUUUCAUAUUUCUUUGCUCCUUGGGAAGGGAAGUAGGAUUCCGCCGGGGUCAAAAAGGCCAAGAACCCAGCAGAUUCCUACUUGGCCCGGCCCUGCCCAGGUCCUGAGUCAUCGAGCCACCUCUCCUGGUUCAGCACAGACUUCUUGGCAGUGAGAGUGCCCUGGCCGGCCCUCUCCUUUAAUCAGCGACCUGCCUUAGCCCUUUCUAGGUUGUUCAAGGUCUUCUUUCUCUUAGGACCUUCUCUUGCUCUUUCAAUCCCCAAAUGCCCAGCCUGAUCCUGCCGACACAGACACACCACACACGUCUCUCUCUCUCUCUCUCUCUCACACACACACACACACACACACUCACACACGCACACACACACACACACUCUUUCCCACGUUCACCACCCUCUCCCAGAGUAGGUUAUAGAGAAUUACAUGUAGGAACUUGAAUCUCUCCACUCAAUAUUUAUUGAGCACCUGCUAUGUGCUGCGCAGCAGUGUAAAAAACAGACAUGCUUUCUGCCUUGAAGGGGAGACAGACGUAACCCAGGGGGUCUGGGCAGUGCAGUCAAGUGCCAAGGUGGAGGUGAGCACGGAGGGACCUCUGACGGCGGUGGCAUGGUGGGAUGAUCAGAGAAGGCUCUGCUGAGCUGUUCCAGGUGGCAGUGGGGGCAGUGUAUGCAAAGAUCUGAAGGUGUGUGUUUGAAGAGUCGCUGGUCGCUGGCAGGUCACUGUGGCUGGGCUCAGAGCUGGAAGGGAGGAGGUGCUGGAGAGGGGCCAGCUGGGAGGUGGUGAGGUUUAGGGAGCAGGUCCUACAGGCCCUUGAAAAGGGGUCCAGACUGUCCCGAAGCAGCCCCCACCCUACCCCCAGCCUGUCUUCUCUUUGCUGUGGCAAGUGAGGCCUUGAAGGGAAACAUCUUCCACUGCUCCCCUUCCCAUGAGCUGCAGGGCUUCCCAGGCAGCUGGGGACAAUCCCUGCCCCCAUGCCCCAUAAGUCAUUAGGACAGGAGUGAGAGCUGACUAGGACUAGUGGUGGGUGGGCAGGCAGGUGGCAGAGGCUGAGUGAGGAGGAACUACAGAGUGGGCCCCACCCCGACCUGCUGAAUGAAGGCCUUAAUGGAGUGCCCCUACUAAUUGGCUGGCCCAACCAUCAGGUGCAAUGGAGGGUAAAACAGGUGUGCAGGUAUUUUCUUUUUCCAAUGACUCAGUAGGUUUGCAAUUACCGCUUUCUCUCAUAAACCCCCCUAACCCCUUUUCCCAGCCACCUCCCCACUUAGACUUGCUUCCUUUUGGAAAAUGGGAAAUAGUGUGUCUGUGAAGCAGAGUGUGGCUGUGUGUGUGUGUGUGUGUGUGUGUGUGUAUGUGACAUAUAUAUGUGAGGAAGUGUAUAAAUGGGAGUGUGCACACUUGUGUGUGCAUGAAAAUACUUCUGCUGGUGCCAUGCAUGGGAGCAAAUGUGGGUGAGAGUUGCAUGUCUCUGUGUGGUAAAGUGUGCAUGUGGGGAACACGGAUGCUUGUGUGUGCACAGGUGUGCAGGAGAGCAUGGGUGUUUGUGAGUUUGGGGACUCGAGGCGUGUGUGUGUGUGUGUGUGUUUGCAGUGAGUGUGCAUGUGACUCUGUGACCCCAGCCGACAUGGUCGUCUUCCCAGGAGAGAAGUGGUUGGGCUGGGAUAUUUGUAUUAACCAAAGCAAUAAAACACCCCACUGGUCUGGCUGCCUCCUCUCUUGCUUCUUUGUAAUUCAUUCUUCACCCAGCAGCCAGUGCGAGCUUUUAAAAAUGCAAAUCAGAUUACAUCACUCUUAGGCUGAAAACCCUCCAGUGGCUUCCCAGUGCAUUUGGAAUAAAUCAAACUUCUGACUA